This is a long non-coding RNA of Micropterus dolomieu (smallmouth bass), 517 nucleotides long. RefSeq lists it as uncharacterized. The record is from RefSeq and is a predicted model, not a curated record. NCBI's taxonomy places the organism in Eukaryota, Metazoa, Chordata, Actinopteri, Centrarchiformes, Centrarchidae. The transcript is spliced from 4 exons.
GAAGUUUUUUUGUAUUUAAAUGAGGAGUGACCACAUACAUUUAUUGAAAGUAAACAGAAUUAUUCUGUUAUCUUUUGAUUAUUAAACUGAAUUGAAAGAUCUCAAAACAAGUAAGGAGUCUGCUAAACAAGUCACUAAACUAUACUAAAGAGUCUAAAGAAGCAAACAGCAAAGACAGGCUGCACAUCCAGCUGAUCACAGUGACUACACCUGAAGCAGCUGCAGCCGGAGGCUCCCUAAAGCCCAGGCAAAACUGAAGUAUGUGUUGUGGUGCCACUCGAACACGCCAAACAAGUCAAUCACAGAGGCUGCUUCAGUUCGGCAUCCAUCAUACAUGUCAUCAAUGGAGUCUGUGGCCAUAUCCAGAGAAGACAGAACUUUCAGGAAGGCUGAAUGCAACGGCAGGGAAACAGAGGCGUGGACCCAAAAUGCAGACCUUAACAAGGCUAGAUCAGUUUGCAGCUUUCCAUUCAGGAUCUGACUGAUGACCAGGAUGACGACUGCAGAUCCAAACCUU